UGCCCCAGUAACGGCGAGUGAAGCGGCAACAGCUCAAAUUUGAAAUCUGGCCCCUCCGGGUCCGAGUUGUAAUUUGUAGAGGAUGCUUUUGGUGAGGUGCCGCCCGAGUUCCCUGGAACGGGACGCCACAGAGGGUGAGAGCCCCGUCUGGCUGGCCACCGAGCCUCUGUAAAGCUCCUUCGACGAGUCGAGUAGUUUGGGAAUGCUGCUCAAAAUGGGAGGUAUAUGUCUUCUAAAGCUAAAUAUUGGCCAGAGACCGAUAGCGCACAAGUAGAGUGAUCGAAAGAUGAAAAGCACCUUGAAAAGAGGGUUAAACAGUACGUGAAAUUGUUGAAAGGGAAGCGCUUGUGACCAGACUUGGGCGCGGCGGAUCAUCCGGGGUUCUCUCCGGUGCACUUCGCCGCGUUCAGGCCAGCAUCAGUUCGUCGCGGGGGAAAAAGGCUUCGGGAACGUGGCUCCUCCGGGAGUGUUAUAGCCCGUUGCAUAAUACCCUGCGGUGGACUGAGGACCGCGCAUCUGCAAGGAUGCUGGCGUAAUGGUCACCAGCGAC
This 550-nucleotide ribosomal RNA is filed under the name Trichoderma sp. WL-Go. RNAcentral's name for it is "eukaryotic LSU rRNA". It matches the Rfam family "Eukaryotic large subunit ribosomal RNA", at positions 76 to 648 of the family's 3401-position model. Lineage: Eukaryota; Fungi; Ascomycota; Sordariomycetes; Hypocreales; Hypocreaceae. The record is from RNAcentral.